CUUUGACCUUUUUGUCUCCUUCAUAAGGAUUCUUGUGAUUACAUUAGGUCCAUGUAGAUAACCCAAGAUAAUCUUCAUAACUUUAUCACAUCUACCAGUUCCUUUUGCCAGGUAAGGUAACAUAUUCACAGGUUCUGGAGAUUAGACAUAGAAUUCUUUUGGGGACCAUUAUUCUAUUUACUGCAUUAUCUUAACAAUAUUAAAUCUUCCAAUCCAUGCACAUGGGAUGUCUUUUCAUUUAAGUCUCCUUUAAUUUAUUUCAAUGAUGUUUUGCAGUUUUCAAUGUACAAGUCUUACAUUUAAUUUGUUAAAUUUACUCCAAAAUAUUUUAUUAUUUUUUGUGCUUUUGUAAAUGGAAUUGUUUUCUUAAUUUUAUUUUUGGAUUGCUCAUUGCUAGUGUAGAGAAAUACAAAUGAUUUUUUGCAUAUUGAUCUCAAGAAAUCUUGUUAAACUCGGAGUUUCUUUUUGGAAUGAUGAAAAUAUUCUGAAUUAGAUCGUAGUGAUGGUUAUGCAACAGUGAAUAUCCUAAAAAAUCACAGAAUUGUAUACUUUAAAGGGGCGAAUUUUAUGGUCUAUGAAUUGUAUCUCAAUAAAGUCAUUAUUAACAAACAAACUAUACCAUUUGGGAAUGGCCAUCAAAAAUUAAAAUGUGAAUUAUUCUCUCAAAAUGAGGUUGGAGGGGUGUGAGAGGAAAGUUGGGGACCAGAAGUGCCCAUGUUUUGAUACAUUCUCUUAUUACUUCCAGAUGGGAACUCUAUAAGUUGCAUAUCCUGAUUUUGUAUGUUUGGUGGAAGAACUUCUCUUCAUAGCUCUUUUGUUCCUAGACACACCAAACUCCUGAAUGGCAGAGGGCUUUGGCUUUUGUUCUCUACCUGAGUCAUUCUCUCCCCAGAUCCUUACAUGGCAGGCUCCUUCUUGCCAUUCAGGUCUUGGUUAUGAGAGGACUUCCCUGCCAAUCAAAUCUAAUCUAAAGCAGCUUCUCCAAUGCAAUCGUUCUUUAUCAUACCACUGUGUUUUUUCUGUCAGGAACUGGAAUGAUUUUCUUUAUUAAUUGCUUACUUGCUUGUAUAUUUCUUCCCUGUAAAAUGUAAGCUCUAUCACAGCAGGGAUCUAUACUGUUUCAUUCACUAUAAUAUAUCUCCAACUUCUAGGAUAUAGCUGGCACAUAGAAGAUGAUCACUAAAUUUUUAUUGAAUGAAUGACGCAUAUCAUUAAGGAGAAAAGUUGGCCAGGCGCAGUGGCUCACGCCUGUAAUCCCAGCACUUUUGGAGGCCAAGCAUUAUUGUGGUAAUAGAUAACGAAUACAAGAAUCAAAGGGAAGGAUGAGUAUUCUGG
Molecule: long non-coding RNA, 1335 nt
Filed under: Homo sapiens (human)
Lineage: Eukaryota; Metazoa; Chordata; Mammalia; Primates; Hominidae
Description: SIDT1 antisense RNA 1 (SIDT1-AS1)
Source: RNAcentral